RNAcentral lists this ribosomal RNA (204 nucleotides) under uncultured bacterium. Its description in RNAcentral is "partial 16S ribosomal RNA". It matches the Rfam family "Bacterial small subunit ribosomal RNA", at positions 1298 to 1500 of the family's 1533-position model. The record is from RNAcentral.
UUGCAGGNUGCAACCCGCCUGUAUGAAGUUGGAAUCGCUAGUAAUCGCGGAUCAGCAUGCCGCGGUGAAUACGUUCCCGGGCCUUGUACACACCGCCCGUCACACCAUGAGAGUCGGGAACACCCGAAGUCCGUAGCCUAACCGCAAGGGAGGGCGCGGCCGAAGGUGGGUUCGAUAAUUGGGGUGAAGUCGUAACAAGGUAUC